AGUUCGUUAUGAAUGGGACACUAUUGACGCAGAGAGGAUGGAAAUACCUAACGACCGUGUUUGUUUUCUAUCCGGUGAUCGCGGCAAGAAUCUUCGUGAAAUCUCGGGUGCUCGUGUCGAGGUGCUGCGGCGUAAAUCCAAAAAAGGGACCACGACUUCAGUCAGAAUCAGCGGUAGCAAAUUCGCUCGCAGCAAGGCGAUUGGACUUAUC
This is a long non-coding RNA of Sycon ciliatum, 211 nucleotides long. RefSeq lists it as uncharacterized. The transcript is spliced from 3 exons. The record is from RefSeq and is a predicted model, not a curated record. Lineage: Eukaryota; Metazoa; Porifera; Calcarea; Leucosolenida; Sycettidae.